Non-coding RNA from Ictidomys tridecemlineatus (thirteen-lined ground squirrel), 72 nucleotides. Lineage: Eukaryota; Metazoa; Chordata; Mammalia; Rodentia; Sciuridae. The record is from Rfam.
AGGGUUGUGGAUCAGUGGUAGAGCGCUUGCCUGGCAUGCAUGAGGCACUGGGUUCGAUCCCUGGCAUCACAU